RNAcentral lists this ribosomal RNA (293 nucleotides) under uncultured bacterium. Its description in RNAcentral is "partial 16S ribosomal RNA". It matches the Rfam family "Archaeal small subunit ribosomal RNA", at positions 455 to 747 of the family's 1478-position model. The record is from RNAcentral.
GUGCCAGCCGCCGCGGUAAUACCGGCAGCCCGAGUGAUGGCCGAUAUUAUUGGGCCUAAAGCGUUCGUAGCCGGCCAGUCAAGUCUGUUGGGAAAUCCACGCGCUCAACGCGUGGGCGUCCAGCGGAAACUGUCUGGCUUGGGGCCGGAGGACUCGAGGGGUACGUCCGGGGUAGGAGUGAAAUCCCGUAAUCCUGGACGGACCACCGGUGGCGAAAGCACUUCGAGAAAACGGAUCCGACAGUGAGGGACGAAAGCCAGGGUCUCCAACCGGAUUAGAUACCCUGGUAGUCC